UGGGGAAUAUUGGACAAUGGGCGCAAGCCUGAUCCAGCAAUGCCGCGUGUGUGAAGAAGGCCUUCGGGUUGUAAAGCACUUUUAUCAGGAGCGAAAUACCACGGGUCAAUACCCUGUGGGGCUGACGGUACCUGAGGAAUAAGCACCGGCUAACUUCGUGCCAGCAGCCGCGGUAAUACGAAGGGUGCAAGCGUUAAUCGGAAUUACUGGGCGUAAAGGGUGCGUAGGCGGUUACUUAAGUCUGUCGUGAAAUCCCCGGGCUCAACCUGGGAAUGGCGAUGGAUACUGGGUGGCUAGAGUGUGUCAGAGGAUGGUGGAAUUCCCGGUGUAGCGGUGAAAUGCGUAGAGAUCGGGAGGAACAUCAGUGGCGAAGGCGGCCAUCUGGGACAACACUGACGCUGAAGCACGAAAGCGUGGGGAGCAAACAGG
RNAcentral lists this ribosomal RNA (429 nucleotides) under uncultured bacterium. RNAcentral's name for it is "bacterial SSU rRNA". It matches the Rfam family "Bacterial small subunit ribosomal RNA", at positions 355 to 776 of the family's 1533-position model. The record is from RNAcentral.